RNAcentral lists this ribosomal RNA (230 nucleotides) under Heterosigma akashiwo. RNAcentral's name for it is "partial Bacterial large subunit ribosomal RNA". It matches the Rfam family "Bacterial large subunit ribosomal RNA", at positions 343 to 569 of the family's 2925-position model. Lineage: Eukaryota; Raphidophyceae; Chattonellales; Chattonellaceae. The record is from RNAcentral.
UGGGAAGGCCGGCCAGAGACGGUGAGAGCCCGGUAUCCGAAACGCGCGCACGAGGGUGGAAACAGACCCCGAGUACUGCGGGACACGAGGAAUCCCGUAGGAAUCUGGGAGGACCACCUCCUAAGGCUAAAUACUCCUUGGCGACCGAUAGUGAACGAGUACCGUGAGGGAAAGGUGAAAAGAACCCUGAAUAAGGGAGUGAAAUAGAACCUGAAACCAUACGCUUACAA